GUCAGCAGUGCUCAAAGAUGAUUUCAUGGUAUCAGACAAUUCUGGAGCAACUUGACCACUCUCUGAUCCAACAUUAAGGGCAAGUAACUCAUCUAAAUUGUUUCCUGAAGUAUUACCCAAGGGUGUUGAGUUCCUUCUUGAACUGAGGUCCAUGCCAUUUACAGCAAUUACAUAUUCAAUCUCUGAACCACCCUCCGCACUCCCGACACCAAUUUGAGAAUCCUCCAAAUCACUAAUAGAAAACAAG
RNAcentral lists this unclassified non-coding RNA (247 nucleotides) under Hevea brasiliensis (rubber tree). The record is from RNAcentral. Lineage: Eukaryota; Viridiplantae; Streptophyta; Magnoliopsida; Malpighiales; Euphorbiaceae.